GGUGGUGGAGGCCGGGGGCCUGAGGGCCUCCGGGGCGCCCGCGGGCGGCGACGGCGGGCGGGCAGGGGUCCAGCCGGAGCCGGAGUGGGGCGAGCGGAGCGGCCUGCGCGGGCCAGGUGGGGGUGUGCGGCGGGAGGGGGGGGCGCCGGUAGGCCUCGGGCCGGUAGGCCCCACGGCAGCCGCGCCCUGCCCCCGCACCCCGGGCCUCCGCGCGCCCCCUCGAGUCCCCCGGGGUCUCCGGGUGGGACGGCGGCGCUGCUGGGCCGAAUCCCGCGCCGGCCCGGAGGCUUUCCCGCGGGGCGGCAGGCCCGGGCUGCCGGGACAGGGGCGUCAGGGCCUAGGAGUGGGGAGUGGGGAAUGGGCGCCCGGCUCCCCUUCCCCCGGGUCUCUCGCAGACGGCCCCCAGAUUCCGACAAUCUGCUUCAUCCUGAUUCUGCGGCAUUCCAAACUGUGGUAUCCUUGGGGGUUCUCUUAACAUUGCUAUGGUGCAGAAGAUUUAAAAUCAGCUGAUGUUCACAAGGAAUAGAGUCACGUGAUGUAUGAAGGGAAACAUAUACACUUCUCUGAGGUUGACAAUAAGCCCUUGUGCUCAUAUAGCCCCAAACUGUGCAAGCAGAGGCGACUCAACGGCUACGCCUUCUGUAUCAGACACGUUCUGGAGGACAAGACUGCCCCCUUCAAGCAAUGUGAAUAUGUGGCCAAGUAUAACAGCCAACGCUGCACCAACCCCAUCCCCAAAUCAGAGGAUCGUAGGUACUGCAACAGCCACUUGCAGGUACUUGGCUUUAUCC
Molecule: long non-coding RNA, 791 nt
Filed under: Homo sapiens (human)
Lineage: Eukaryota; Metazoa; Chordata; Mammalia; Primates; Hominidae
Description: HSALNT0046209
Source: RNAcentral